Molecule: ribosomal RNA, 512 nt
Filed under: uncultured bacterium
Lineage: Bacteria
Description: partial 16S ribosomal RNA
Rfam family: Bacterial small subunit ribosomal RNA
Source: RNAcentral
GAUGAACGCUGGCGGCGUGCCUAAUACAUGCAAGUCGAACGAAACUUCUUUAUCACCGAGUGCUUGCACUCACCGAUAAAGAGUUGAGUGGCGAACGGGUGAGUAACACGUGGGCAACCUGCCCAAAAGAGGGGGAUAACACUUGGAAACAGGUGCUAAUACCGCAUAACCAUAGUUACCGCAUGGUAACUAUGUAAAAGGUGGCUAUACUACCGCUUUUGGAUGGGCCCGCGGCGCAUUAGCUAGUUGGUAGGGUAAAGGCUUACCAAGGCAAUGAUGCGUAUCCGAAGUGAGAGGUGGAUCGGCCACAUUGGGAGUGGGACACGGCCCAAACUCCUACGGGACGCAGCAGUAGGGAAUCUUCCACAAUGGGCGAAAGCCUGAUGGAGCAACGCCGCGUGGGUGAAGAAGGUCUUCGGAUCGUAAAACCCUGUUGUUAGAGAAGAAAGUGCGUGAGAGUAACUGUUCACGUUUCGACGGUAUCUAACCAGAAAGCCACUGCUAACUACGUG